CCCACACCCUGCUGGGUUUGUUCACCACAGUCAGCUUCCCUUUCACCACAGCUGGCCUAGCAGAAAGCAGUAAAGGCUGAGCCAGCUGAGUGUGUCCAGAGGGUUCAGAGGGCCUGUGGGAGACAAGAUUCCCGACCUCAGAGCUUGACAUCAUAGGCAAGUCCUCUCAACAGAGACAGGAGGGGAAGACCUCCUGCUCUAUUACCCAGGAGAGCAGCAUCCUGAAAAGGAAGAUGCUUAGUCCUGUUCUCAUUGACUCUUGGGGCCCCAGCCUCCUCUGCUGUGUUACCCUCUGUCUACUGGGAACGAGUUCAGCAGAUACAGGGGUCAUCCAGUCCCCCAGACAUAUAAUCAAAGCUAAGGGAGGAAGGUCCAUUCUGAAAUGUUAUCCCAUCUCUGGACACACCAGUGUGUUCUGGUACCAGCAGGCUGUGGGGCAGGGGCCUGAAUUCCUCAUUCAGCAUUAUGAAACGACGGAGCAAAACAAAGGAAACAUCCCUCACCGAUUCUCAGUUCAGCAGUUUAGUGACUAUCACUCCGAGAUGAACAUGACUGCCUUGCAGCUGGGAGACUCGGCUGUGUAUCUUUGUGCCAGCAGCUUAGCACAGCCUUGCAGAAUUACUGGCUCUCUGUACCCAAACCUGCCUGUCCCAGCUCUGACAAUAUAGUA
Nannospalax galili (Upper Galilee mountains blind mole rat) is the source of this 670-nucleotide non-coding RNA. The record is from the annotation of a RefSeq genome assembly. NCBI's taxonomy places the organism in Eukaryota, Metazoa, Chordata, Mammalia, Rodentia, Spalacidae.